Molecule: non-coding RNA, 48 nt
Filed under: Hyphomicrobiales bacterium
Lineage: Bacteria; Pseudomonadati; Pseudomonadota; Alphaproteobacteria; Hyphomicrobiales
Description: Rhizobiales bacterium Guanidine-II sequence
Rfam family: Guanidine-II riboswitch aptamer (mini-ykkC)
About the family: Simpler in structure and has fewer highly conserved nucleotide positions than the ykkC-yxkD leader. Despite this each of its two stem-loop structures directly bind free guanidine.
Source: RNAcentral
CCGCAGGGACGACCUUGCCUCAGCCCGACAUUGGUGGGGACGACCUCA